CCUGAGUACGACGGAGCACGUGAAAUUCCGUCGGAAUCUGGGAGGACCAUCUCCUAAGGCUAAAUACUCUCUAGUGACCGAUAGUGAACCAGUACCGUGAGGGAAAGGUGAAAAGUACCCCGGAAGGGGAGUGAAAGAGAACUUGAAACCGUGUGCUUACAAGUAGUCAGAGCCCGUUAAUGGGUGAUGGCGUGCCUUUUGUAGAAUGAACCGGCGAGUUACGAUCUGAUGCAAGGUUAAGCAGAAAAUGUGGAGCCGUAGCGAAAGCGAGUCUGAAUAGGGCGAAUGAGUAUUUGGUCGUAGACCCGAAACCAGGUGAUCUACCCUUGGUCAGGUUGAAGUUCAGGUAACACUGAAUGGAGGACCGAACCGACUUACGUUGAAAAGUGAGCGGAUGAACUGAGGGUAGCGGAGAAAUUCCAAUCGAACUUGGAGAUAGCUGGUUCUCUCCGAAAUAGCUUUAGGGCUAGCCUCAAGUGAUGAUUAUUGGAGGUAGAGCACUGUUUGGACGAGGGGCCCCUCUCGGGUUACCGAAUUCAGACAAACUCCGAAUGCCAAAUAAUUUAACUUGGGAGUCAGAAUGUGGGUGAUAAGGUCCAUAUUCGAAAGGGAAACAGCCCAGACCACCAGCUAAGGUCCCAAAAUAUAUGUUAAGUGGAAAAGGAUGUGGCGUUGCCCAGACAACUAGGAUGUUGGCUUAGAAGCAGCCAUCAUUUAAAGAGUGCGUAAUAGCUCACUAGUCGAGUGACACUGCGCCGAAAAUGUACCGGGGCUAAACAUAUUACCGAAGCUGUGGAUUGUCCUUUGGACAAUGGUAGGAGAGCGUUCUAAGGGCGUUGAAGCAUGAUCGCAAGGACAUGUGGAGCGCUUAGAAGUGAGAAUGCCGGUGUGAGUAGCGAAAGACGGGUGAGAAUCCCGUCCACCGAUUGACUAAGGUUUCCAGAGGAAGGCUCGUCCGCUCUGGGUUAGUCGGGUCCUAAGCUGAGGCCGACAGGCGUAGGCGAUGGAUAACAGGUUGAUAUUCCUGUACCACCAUUAUUCGUUUUAAGCGAUGGGGGGACGCAGUAGGAUAGGCGAAGCGUGCUGUUGGAGUGCACGUCCAAGCAGUGAGAUUGAGUGUUAGGCAAAUCCGGCACUCUUAAGAUUGAGCUGUGAUGGGGAGAGGAACUUGUUCCUCGAGUCGUUGAUUUCACACUGCCGAGAAAAGCCUCUAGCUAGAAUAACGGUGCCCGUACCGCAAACCGACACAGGUAGUCAAGAUGAGAAUUCUAAGGUGAGCGAGCGAACUCUCGUUAAGGAACUCGGCAAAAUGACCCCGUAACUUCGGGAGAAGGGGUGCUCUUUGAGGUUCACGCUUCGAAGAGCCGCAGUGAAUAGGCCCAAGCGACUGUUUAUCAAAAACACAGGUCUCUGCUAAACCGUAAGGUGACGUAUAGGGGCUGACGCCUGCCCGGUGCUGGAAGGUUAAGAGGAGUGGUUAGCGCAAGCGAAGCUACGAAUCGAAGCCCCAGUAAACGGCGGCCGUAACUAUAACGGUCCUAAGGUAGCGAAAUUCCUUGUCGGGUAAGUUCCGACCCGCACGAAAGGCGUAACGAUUUGGGCACUGUCUCAACGAGAGACUCGGUGAAAUCAUAGUACCGGUGAAGAUGCCGGUUACCCGCGACAGGACGGAAAGACCCCGUGGAGCUUUACUGUAGCCUGAUAUUGAAAUUCGGUACAGUUUGUACAGGAUAGGUAGGAGCCUUAGAAGCGUGAGCGCUAGCUUACGUGGAGGCAUUGGUGGGAUACUACCCUAAUUGUAUUGGAUUUCUAACCCGCAGCACUUAUCGUGCUGGGAGACAGUGUCAGGCGGGCAGUUUGACUGGGGCGGUCGCCUCCUAAAGAGUAACGGAGGCGCUCAAAGGUUCCCUCAGAAUGGUUGGAAAUCAUUCAUAGAGUGUAAAGGCAUAAGGGAGCUUGACUGCGAGACCUACAAGUCGAGCAGGGUCGAAAGACGGA
RNAcentral lists this ribosomal RNA (1998 nucleotides) under Staphylococcus pseudintermedius. Its description in RNAcentral is "partial 23S ribosomal RNA". It matches the Rfam family "Bacterial large subunit ribosomal RNA", at positions 407 to 2410 of the family's 2925-position model. Lineage: Bacteria; Bacillati; Bacillota; Bacilli; Caryophanales; Staphylococcaceae. The record is from RNAcentral.